CCUUUGGAGGGAACCCCGAAGAGCAGAAGUGGAGGUUAAAAGAAAAAUCUAAUUGGGAAUCGCUCAGAAAGAAGUCUACUUUCGUUACUUCUUUCUAUCAGUUUUCCUCCCUGUUUAAACUCCUCCACUUCGCUUCAAUUUGUGGAUUCUUCGCAAUCUACUCAUGAAGCUUCGCUCUCCUUGUGGCUUCUCGUCUGCCACCAAACUUCUCUCCUUCGC
RNAcentral lists this non-coding RNA (219 nucleotides) under Protocruzia adhaerens. Lineage: Eukaryota; Ciliophora; Spirotrichea. The record is from RNAcentral.